AUUUUCAUAGCCUUUGUAAUGGUAAGCUCUGUUUUUCUGGGAGAUUGGGCAUCCUCUUAAAAUUCAGUCCAUCCUUGACGAUAUCCUUUGCCCAAUUUCUGUAUUUCUGCAAAUUUCAGUUCUGCCAAGAUGGUAUGAUGGCUUAUAGGCUGGGAGCUCUGAGAGUCACCUCCAACUAAUGAUUCAAUUAUCCUCUGAGAAAGCAAAUAGCUCAAAUUUUUCCCUCAGGCAUGGGUAUAAGUUUUUGGUCUCAAUCUAGACUUGAUCAAGUCAGAAACACAAUAUACAGUUUCAAAGACUAUAACCAAUAAUUUAAAUUGAAUCUAAAAGAAAAUAGACAACCACUAUGAAACAAAAUUAGUGCACUGCCUCUCCUUCUGCAGUUGGAUCUAUUUAUAUUCAAGGCAUUAACAAAGAAUAUAUACUCCUAAGAUAGCUCUAAACUAGAAAGUACUUUCUUCCCCUCUUUCAAAUAUUUAGGCAUAUGGAUGUGUUUACAUAUCCACUUAAUAUUUCUACAAACUAUUGUGAUUCAGCUAACCCAGUGAUGAGAAAACUUUUAGAGACUGAAUGCCCAAACUUUAACCCUCACACUACAUGUGAGCCCCUCUCUCAACCAAGACAGGGUAGGGAGGAGGCAUUCCCAUUGGGCUGUAGAACAGAGGGUUUGGUGAUGAGAAAAAUGUCCUCAGGCACACAUGGAAAGUGGGAAGGGAAAAGAACCCUCUGGCAUACAUGAUGUAGAUUCACUAACAUGGCUAAGGAAUGCUGCAUCUCUUUGUACUCUAGGACAGUGAUGGCAAACCUUUUAGAUGGGUGGGUGAUAUGAAAAAUGUCCUCAGACAUGCACAAAGAGGGAGAGAGAAGCAAUCUAGCCCUGCCUCUCUGGCUUUUGUGGAUGAAUAAAUUGGAGAAAACCUGCAACAGAGCCAAAGUAGUAAAGUUUGCAAAAGCUGUCAUUCAAGAAUCAUUCUGGAAUGGAAUGUGACUGGAGGGAGACUGUUGAAGGGAAACAUCCAAACUGUUGGAGUUGUCACUUUCUCCUGAGACAGGAAGGAGUAAGGACUGAGAAUAUCUUCUUCUUACUGAAUUUAUAUCUUCUCUAUAAAGAAUCACAGCAGGCAAGCAGGGGAAGUCAGAAUGACUUUCUUGUCUUCCAUCUUUCUAUCUCCUCAGUCCCUCAUAACAUUGCUGAGUUUGGUAAUAAAAGAGAAGAAAAGAUUCUUCUAGGAACUAUGAAAUUGGAAUUGAAAUUUUCACUUUUAACAGAAAAAUAGUUGCAUCUAUUUUCCAGAGUUUUUGCAGUAAUCCUCAGUCUAUAACCCAAUCAUAUAUAGAGGGAAAGAUGAUCAAGAUGAUCCAUGAGCAUCAGUGUCCUUCUGCUUACCCAUAUCAAAAUGAUGAUACAUCUCAUGUCUGGGAACAUCCGAAGCCUGAAGGACAGGCAACAUCAGAGUAACUGCUCCUAUUUGAUAUGAAUAUCAACAUUAACAUGUAGCCUCUACUCUGGAUUUCUGUUGCUAAAUAAAACCUUUAAAUUCAAUUGUCUGUGGACUCUG
This is a long non-coding RNA of Monodelphis domestica (gray short-tailed opossum), 1559 nucleotides long. The record is from Ensembl. NCBI's taxonomy places the organism in Eukaryota, Metazoa, Chordata, Mammalia, Didelphimorphia, Didelphidae.